GGAGGUUACGGCUAUCGGUGUUCCCCUAACCCUUGCGAGUCAUAUGUUCUUCUUGAAAAUGGAGUACUGCUCAAUAACCCGUGAAUAACUUGCCCUUGGGACCGGCUUACCCCCGGGAAACUGGGGAUAAUUCCGGAUACCCUAUAUAUGCUGGAAUGCUUUAGGCUCGAAAUGGAUUCGCCUGCCCAAGGAUGGAUCUGCGGCCUAUCAGGUAUUACUGGGUGUAAGGUACCUACUACCCUACAACGGGUACGGUUUGUGAUAGCAAAAUCCCGGAUAUGGAUUCUGAGACAUGAUUCCGGUCCCUACGGGGCGCACCAA
RNAcentral lists this ribosomal RNA (321 nucleotides) under uncultured archaeon. RNAcentral's name for it is "bacterial SSU rRNA". It matches the Rfam family "Archaeal small subunit ribosomal RNA", at positions 19 to 338 of the family's 1478-position model. The record is from RNAcentral.